RNAcentral lists this ribosomal RNA (265 nucleotides) under uncultured bacterium. RNAcentral's name for it is "partial 16S ribosomal RNA". It matches the Rfam family "Bacterial small subunit ribosomal RNA", at positions 524 to 783 of the family's 1533-position model. The record is from RNAcentral.
UACGUAGGGACCGAGCGUUGUCCGGAAUCAUUGGGCGUAAAGAGCGUGUAGGCGGCCACUUAAGUCCUGCGUGAAAUCUUGCGGCUCAACCGCAAGCGGUCGUGGGAAACUGGGUGGCUAGAGUGCGGGAGAGGAGAGUGGAAUUCCUGGUGUAGCGGUGGAAUGCGCAGAUAUCAGGAAGAACACCCGUGGCGAAGGCGGGCUCUCGUGGAAGCGACAACUGACGGCUGAGAGACGAAAGCGUGGGGAGCAAACAGGAUUAGAA